UCCCCAUCCUCUCUUGCCUCCUUCCUCUCGGUUCGUUGUUUCAGUGUCGGCGGCUCUCGUCGAUUAGCUCGGUGGCGCCGAAGUUGAGAGCUUCAUGGGCGACAUCAAGGCGGAGGAAGAUGGGUGGUGGGAUGGAUCUGGUCGCCAUGGUGUCGGAGCUCAGCGAGAGGAGGAGUUCGACCCUGGCCCCUCACAGCCUCGCUACCUGCCUCCUCUUCAUCUCUUCUCCCUCGUGCUGCUCGUAAUCUCCAUCUCCAUCUUCGUCCGUAUGCAUCGUCCUCCUCAUCUGCCAGUCAUCCACCAUGCCCAAGGCUAGCAGGAAGAGGCCAAGAAGGGAGGCCGACCAAUGGCUCAAGCGGCCAUGGCAACGCAAGAGACGCCGCACCUGCCCCCGGCCUGCUUUACAGGCCACCAUCUCUCUAUAUCUCCCUUUUUCUAGAUUUUCUCAUAUUUGUUUCUGUGCCUGCAAGGUGUUAGAUGUAAUGUGGUCAAUGUAUAGUGCUUUGUAUGUUUUCUUGUUUAUCUUCAGAUGGGGCAACACCUUCAAUCAAGCUGGCUACUUAUAGACGUCAUCUAGGUUCCAAUUCUGUGGUCAUUUCUUUUACACACAAUGGACACUUCUUGGAAUAUGAUGCAGCCAAUUCUAUUUGUUUAAGCCCAGUUGCUUCAUUCACUUUAGGCUGAUUGUGAUGACACGAGUUCGCAACCAUUGACCUCCCUUCAACGGAACAAGGGAUCGGAAUUCUCGCGCAUGAUUAAAGAGGCGAAGCAUCUUGGCUUGGCCGGCAUGCCUUGCUUGGAUGGCGUCGAGGAAGCAGAAGCAUAGUGUGCAUUGCUUGAUUUAAACUCAUUGUGCGAAGGCUGUUUUACAUCAGAUUCAGAUGCUUUUCUUUUUGGAUCAAGGACAGUUUACAGAGGAGUCUUCA
Long non-coding RNA from Triticum aestivum (bread wheat), 926 nucleotides. RefSeq lists it as uncharacterized. The record is from RefSeq and is a predicted model, not a curated record. Lineage: Eukaryota; Viridiplantae; Streptophyta; Magnoliopsida; Poales; Poaceae. The transcript has 3 exons.